GGGGUAGUUCAUUUACCUCUGCCCUCUAGUCUAGGGGCCCAGCCAGGGCAGGAGCUUGAUGGGCUGUGGCCCCCUUCCCAGCGCCACUUGGGCCUUCCCAGAUGGACGUGGAGGGGUAGUCGGUGGGGCCCUCAGGAAGAGCUAGCGAGGGUAGCAGUUGUGGCAUCAGAUGGCUGCCAAUCUUGGCCAGUCUGAGCUUCAGUUAAAGCUGAAGGAAGGAGAGGAGACAGUUGGCCUUUCCAUCACACCCCACACCACAAGAGAAUAACUUGCUUCAAAACGCUAUGCAAAAAGUUGACAGCUGUCACUCUGGGUUCAGGGUUACAAACUCAGAUGCCAAAGGGCCAGCUUGACACCAAAGUGGUUUACACCGAGGAGCCAGGCUCCACGGAAGAGGAGGCAGCUGGACACUGCUCCAGCUGCUAUCAGGAGAAAGGCAGACCCAUGGCUGCCAAGCCUCAUCUUCUUCCCCCUAAGAAACAGGAGAUCUGGGGUUUUACCCAGAAUGGCCCAAUCUUCAAAUGUGGGCAACAUUUUGUUUAUUCAGACCAAAGACAUGUUUGGUCUUCAGUUGGCAUUUAAGCACAAAUGUGGGCAAUACCGCCCGGCAAAGCCGGUUGCUGACAUACUUUAAAAUAUGCCCUCUGUGCCAUCAGAUGUCAACAACUCGAAACCCACAGGAAAUAUUGGAAGCCAAGGCCAACCCUUCCUUGACCCUCAACACACACAUUCCCCAGCUUACCUUGUGAGGAUGGGUUGUAGGAAGUGGUGAGGGGAGAAGCAGGGCCUGCUGGGGACCUCAAGUGAGGAGGGAUGAGAAUGGCAUUGAGAGAUGGUUGGAUGGACAGUUCUAGAGACAGGAAUUGACAUAUUCAGUCAAGAAGAGGCAAAGCUUAUGGAAAGCCAGUUAGGGUUAGGAUGGGGCACCAAACAAGGACCCAGUUACUGGCAAGGCCAGGUAGAAGAGACUUUAGCCACAGGACUCCUAAGUGUAACAGUGGAAAGGGCACAAUGUGGAGACACCUGGCUGAGCCAGGGCCACCUUGUACUCUCUCAGCUCCCCAUUCCUGCUCAACACCAAGCCUCUCCACAUCCCCCACAUCUCCGCUGGCCCCAGGCUAUGCUCACCACCAGGACUGAAGUUGAACAGGGGGGGAAGCGGGCGGUCGUUGGGGAGCUGGGCUCCGAGUCUCCGCAGUUCAUCGAAGAAGCUGUGGGCACAAGCCUCGAGUGGGGAGAGCCUUGAGGAUGGCGUGUACUCCAGUAGGCUAGAGCAGAGUGCAAUGGCCUCAGGUGGUGUCUUUGAAGAUUUGAACACCUGUGGGUUGAUUCAGAGGUGAGAGGCGCAGUGACACUCUGUGGCAGCCUGCUUCCCAAACACCCACCUCCCUGGUAAGGAGACAGACACAGUGAGAUGGGCACUGGCUCAGGGUCCAUGACUUGUGACUCCUGGUGCAUACUUGUCACCAUACAAAUGGGAAUCUUGUAUUUACCUAUGAGUUCUCAACUUUUAAAAUUCUAUAAACUUCACAAUCACAAAAU
Molecule: long non-coding RNA, 1542 nt
Filed under: Mus musculus (house mouse)
Lineage: Eukaryota; Metazoa; Chordata; Mammalia; Rodentia; Muridae
Description: RIKEN cDNA 9130221H12 gene (9130221H12Rik)
Source: RNAcentral